CCUUUGGUUGUGGGUCAUGGCUUGCCAUGACUCUGCAGCUUCAACCCUUGAUUUUCGAGCACCUUUUGUUUCCUUGGUAGGGUGACCUACCAUAGGACCUCGUCAAACCAACUUGCAAUUGAAAUCAGCGUCUGAAACUUUGAAUUAUUA
RNAcentral lists this unclassified non-coding RNA (150 nucleotides) under uncultured fungus. RNAcentral describes it as "sequence contains ITS1". Lineage: Eukaryota; Fungi. The record is from RNAcentral.